AUUGAACGCUGGCGGCAUGCCUUACACAUGCAAGUCGAACGGUAACGGGCCUUCGGGUGCCGACGAGUGGCGAACGGGUGAGUAAUGCAUCGGAACGUACCUUUCAGUGGGGGAUAACGUAGCGAAAGUUACGCUAAUACCGCAUAUUCUGUGAGCAGGAAAGCAGGGGAUCGCAAGACCUUGCGCUGAUUGAGCGGCCGAUGUCAGAUUAGCUAGUUGGUGAGGUAAAGGCUCACCAAGGCGACGAUCUGUAGCGGGUCUGAGAGGAUGAUCCGCCACACUGGAACUGAGACACGGUCCAGACUCCUACGGGAGGCAGCAGUGGGGAAUUUUGGACAAUGGGGGCAACCCUGAUCCAGCCAUGCCGCGUGAGUGAAGAAGGCCUUCGGGUUGUAAAGCUCUUUCGGCCGGGAAGAAAUCGCAUGGGUUAAUACCCUGUGCGGAUGACGGUACCGGCAUAAGAAGCACCGGCUAACUACGUGCCAGCAGCCGAC
This 494-nucleotide ribosomal RNA is filed under the name uncultured bacterium. RNAcentral describes it as "bacterial SSU rRNA". It matches the Rfam family "Bacterial small subunit ribosomal RNA", at positions 30 to 518 of the family's 1533-position model. The record is from RNAcentral.